Molecule: ribosomal RNA, 403 nt
Filed under: uncultured bacterium
Lineage: Bacteria
Description: bacterial SSU rRNA
Rfam family: Bacterial small subunit ribosomal RNA
Source: RNAcentral
CGCAAGCCUGAUGCAGCAACGCCGUGUGAGUGAAGAAGGUUUUCGGAUCGUAAAACUCUGUCCUAAGGGAAGAAACAAAUGACGGUACCUUAGGAGGAAGCCCCGGCUAACUACGUGCCAGCAGCCGCGGUAAUACGUAGGGGCAAGCGUUAUCCGGAAUCACUGGGCGUAAAGGGUGCGUAGGCGGCUUAGCAAGCCAGGGGUGAAAGGCAUUGGCUCAACCAAUGUAAGACCUUUGGUAACUGUUAAGCUUGAGUGCAGGAGAGGUAAGUGGAAUUCCUAGUGUAGAGGUGAAAUUCGUAGAUAUUAGGAGGAACACCAGUGGCGAAGGCGACUUACUGGACUGUAACUGACGCUGAUGCACGAAAGCGUGGGUAGCGAACAGGAUUAGAUACCCUGGUAA